AGUAGUUUGAUCAGUGGCUCAAGAACGAACGCUGGGCGGCAGGCCUAACACAUGCAAGUCGAACGCCCUAGCAAGUAGGGAGUGGCGCACGGGUGCGUAACGCGUGGGAAUAUGCCCUUGACUACGGAACAACACAGGGAAACUUGUGCUAAUACCGUAUAAUGUCUCCGGACCAAAGAUUUAUCGGUCAAGGAUUAGCCCGCGUUAGAUUAGCUAGUUGGUGAGGUAAUGGCUCACCAAGGCUACGAUCUAUAGCUGGUCUGAGAGGAUGAUCAGCCACACUGGGACUGAGACACGGCCCAGACUCCUACGGGAGGCAGCAGUGAGGAAUAUUGGACAAUGGGGGCAACCCUGAUCCAGCCAUGCCGCGUGAGUGAUGAAGGCCUUCGGGUUGUAAAACUCUUUUAGAUGUGACGAUGAUGACGGUAACAUCAGAAAAAGCUCCGGCUAACUUCGUG
RNAcentral lists this ribosomal RNA (458 nucleotides) under uncultured bacterium. RNAcentral's name for it is "bacterial SSU rRNA". It matches the Rfam family "Bacterial small subunit ribosomal RNA", at positions 1 to 507 of the family's 1533-position model. The record is from RNAcentral.